This 1446-nucleotide long non-coding RNA is filed under the name Anser cygnoides (Swan goose). RNAcentral's name for it is "lncRNA (ENSACDG00005010408.1)". Lineage: Eukaryota; Metazoa; Chordata; Aves; Anseriformes; Anatidae. The record is from RNAcentral.
AUGUCCCGGGGGGAGCAGCGCUGCCGUGCCCCCAGCAGCACCGGAGGCACCGUGCGCGGGGCGCUGCGGCAGGGUCGGUACCCGCGGGGGGCCUGCCCGCAGGGGGACCCCGCAGCGCUGCUGUGUGGGCGCAGCCCGGGGGUGUGCGGGCAGGGGGUGCACGAACAUCCCCCCCUGCUCCCUGCUCUUGGCCACCUCCGGGGACAUGUGGCCAGCAGCGGGGACAGGAUUUGCUUUCGCAGUCACAACAGAGGCGCUGGCCGAGAGCUCCCCGCUGCAGAGCCUGGAGGAGCUGGCGGGGAGGGGGCCAGGCCCACCCGGACCCCCAGGCAGCGGCUCCUGCACCCCCAGCGAGGGGCACGGGGCAGAGCUGGGGGGGAGGGGGCCCACUCUCAUUCUGGGAGGUGCUCGCUCACAGGUGGGGCACGGCAUGGUGUGGGGGGCACAGCGUGGUACCGUGCAGCAGGGCAGGGCACUGAGUGGUGUUGCCAUGGCAGAUGGUGGCAUGGUGCGGCAUGGCACGUUGUGGCACGGCAUGGCACAUUGCAGCAUGGCAUGGCUCGGCAUUGCACAGCACAUUGUGGCACGGCAUGGCACAGCGUGGCACGUUGCAGCAUGGCACGGCAUGGCACGCCACGGCACAGCAUGGCAUGUUGCGGCACGGCAUGGCACGGCAUGGCACGUUGUAGCAUGGCGUGGCACGUUGCAACAUGGCACGGCAUGGCAUGCCAUGGCACGGCAUGGCACGUUGCGGCACGGCAUGGCACGGCAUGGCACGUUGCAGCAUGGCGUGGCACGUUGCGGCACAGCGUGGCACGUGGAGGCACGGCAUGGUGCGGCACAUUGCAGCACGGCACGGCAUGGCACGGCAGAGCCAAGCACAACGCCCUCCGCAGCGGCACAAGCCGCACAUCCCCGCGCCAGCUGGCAGCGGGGCUCGUUGUCACCCCGGGGUGCGCUCUGCUCCCUGCAGUGGCUGCGGGGUCACCUCUGGGGGCUCUGGUCCCUGGGGGGCAGGGGGACGCCCUUUGGGGGGGUCUCCGCUGCGUGGGGCAUCCUUAUGGGGUCCAGUCCCCAGGGGCACCCCUGCAGGGUCGGGUCACAAAGGGGCAGCCAUUGGGGGUCAGUCUCUGGGGGUCUCCUUGUGGGGUCUGGCCCCUGAUUUUGCUGUUCCCCCAUCUGAUGUGCCUUACGGUGACGCUGCGUGCUCUCGCCAGCUGGAGCAUGGGUCACAGCCUGAGGGACGUCACUGCCCUGACACCGACACCGACACCGUGCUGGUCCCCACCGGAGGCUGCCUGUGGCACACGGGGGGCCGUGGGGCCGGGCACCCUGAGCAGUGGGGGCCGGAGUCCCUCUGCAGCAGGUGGGUGUGUGGCCGGUGGCAUCCUUCUUUUGGGGGAAACUGCCCCAAAUCCGCCGCUCUGUGCCCUGCGGUGGCUCUAG